CGGCACCUCAAGUGGUCAGGAUGAUUAUUGGGCCUAAAGCAUCCGUAGCCGGCUCUGUAAGUUUUCGGUUAAAUCUGUACGCUUAACGUACAGGCUGCCGGGAAUACUGCAGAGCUAGGGAGUGGGAGAGGUAGACGGUACUCGGUAGGAAGGGGUAAAAUCCUUUGAUCUAUUGAUGACCACCUGUGGCGAAGGCGGUCUACCAGAACACGUCCGACGGUGAGGGAUGAAAGCUGGGGGAGCAAACCGGAUUAGAUACCCGAGUAGUCC
RNAcentral lists this ribosomal RNA (270 nucleotides) under uncultured archaeon. RNAcentral describes it as "partial 16S ribosomal RNA". It matches the Rfam family "Archaeal small subunit ribosomal RNA", at positions 477 to 747 of the family's 1478-position model. The record is from RNAcentral.